UUGUUGUAUUAGGUAAUCGCUGUGCUUCUUUAAACGGAGGUAUGGAGGAAAGUCCGAACACUUCCCUUUUUAUACGGUUGCAAAAUCGUAUACUGAGGGAGUCUGGUAGUGGGUAACGCCCAUCUAAUGCAAAUUAAGAGGUGCGAGCAGUGACGCAAUGUGUCGAAAGACAGUUGGGUCCAUGUAUUGAAUUUCAAUAUAUGGAUUAAUCCACAGAUAUCCAAAUGUGGAGUGAAACGGCAAAAUCCUUACCUGAGUGCAAGGCCGUGCUCCUAUCAAGCAUCAUGCGACUGACAUAGAGUCUGUCGGAAAUAUGCUGCUUGAUAGGUAGAGUGCCGCUCGAGGCUUUGAGUAAUCAAAGUCCCAGAUAAAUGAUUAUCGUGUAGUGUAUGUGAAUCUGUAAAAUGAGACACAUGCAUCGCAUACAGAAUUCGGCUUAUAGAUACAACAACACG
This 455-nucleotide RNase P RNA is filed under the name Minisyncoccota bacterium. RNAcentral describes it as "RNase P RNA component class A". It matches the Rfam family "Bacterial RNase P class A". From Rfam's summary of the family: Ribonuclease P (RNase P) is a ubiquitous endoribonuclease, found in archaea, bacteria and eukarya as well as chloroplasts and mitochondria. Its best characterised activity is the generation of mature 5'-ends of tRNAs by cleaving the 5'-leader elements of precursor-tRNAs. Cellular RNase Ps are ribonucleoproteins. The record is from RNAcentral. Lineage: Bacteria; Bacillati; Minisyncoccota.